UACGUAGGAGGCAAGCGUUGUCCGGAAUCACUGGGUGUAAAGCGCGUGUAGGCGGCCUGCCAAGUCUGUCGUGAAAGGGCCCGGCUUAACCGGGUCAGGUCGAUGGAAACUGGUGGGCUGGAGGCCGGUAGAGGUGAGUGGAAUUCCCGGUGUAGUGGUGAAAUGCGUAGAGAUCGGGAGGAACACCAGUGGCGAAGGCGGCUCACUGGGCCGAGCCUGACGCUGAGACGCGAAGGCGUGGGGAGCGAACGGG
Molecule: ribosomal RNA, 253 nt
Filed under: uncultured bacterium
Lineage: Bacteria
Description: partial 16S ribosomal RNA
Rfam family: Bacterial small subunit ribosomal RNA
Source: RNAcentral